This 253-nucleotide ribosomal RNA is filed under the name uncultured bacterium. RNAcentral describes it as "partial 16S ribosomal RNA". It matches the Rfam family "Bacterial small subunit ribosomal RNA", at positions 524 to 776 of the family's 1533-position model. The record is from RNAcentral.
UACGUAGGUGGCAAGCGUUGUCCGGAAUUACUGGGCGUAAAGCGUGCGCAGGCGGUUUUGUAAGUCUGACGUGAAAUCCCCGGGCUCAACCUGGGAAUUGCAUUGGAGACUGCAAGGCUAGAAUCUGGCAGAGGGGGGUAGAAUUCCACGUGUAGCAGUGAAAUGCGUAGAGAUGUGGAGGAACACCGAUGGCGAAGGCAGCCCCCUGGGUCAAGAUUGACGCUCAUGCACGAAAGCGUGGGGAGCGAACAGG